CUGUAUAAAUCACACUGAAACCCACCUAAUUGCUCAACCUAGAAACCUGGUAGCAAUUGUUGACACCUUUCUCAUCCUUAACUCCACAUCCAAACCAUCAUAAAGAUCCAGGAAUCAGACCUCCAAAACAUAUUGAACUUACCAUUCUUAUUCUUACAUCUUCAUUGCCAUACUCUUGGAAAUAAGCCAACAAUUUCUUGGGUCCUGAAGUAUUGUGAUAGUCCCUAAUUUUUCUUUCCCAUUCUACUCUUAUUCCCCUAUAUUCAGUUUCCAUGCAGCAUCCAGACAAUCUUUCUAAAAUAUAACCUGGGUCAUUCCUUGCCCAAAAAUCAUUAAUGGCAUUUCUUAGUUCUUAGAAUAAAUUCCCAGUUCAUACCCAAUCUUACAUGAGUUACCCCAUCUAUCUCUCCAGCCAUAUCUGGAGCUACCCUUCUACUCAUUGCACUCCUGGCUAAUCCAAGUCAUCACCUAGAUCUCACUUAAAUGUCAUUGCCAUCAGAGAAGUUUUCCUGACUGCCAUCUUCUCCAAAUAUUCCUAAUUACUAUUAUAUCACUAAUAACACUACUUAGUUUGUCUCUUAAAAUCUCUUGUACACUUUUUUGCUUCAUCAGCAUUUAUAUGUUUAUUAUUUCUUUUCUGGUAAUUUGUUUGAUAUAUGUUUAUCCUACUAAACUACACACCCAUGAAAGCAGGAGUCAUACAUGUUUUACUCAACAUUCUCCUUCCAGUACUUGGCAAGCUUGUACUAGGUGCUCAGUAAAUGCUUUUUGAAUGAACGAAUGAAUCAAUCAAUGAGUGAAUGAGUAUGAAAUACUGAAGACACAUCAGUAAACAAUAUAGAAAAUAAUUUCUGCUUUUGUGGUGGUAACAUUCAGUAAGAAAGCUGUUAUUUACCUAUUAACUUGAUGAUUUGUGAAUAAGAAAACUGAUGACACGCACUUGUUAUAUUUACACUUAUUACUGAUUAUGUCAGGAUCUGUGCUAUUCUGACUAUUUUAAAGCUUAUAAAUUCAUACAAAUUUUAAACUAAGUUUGUGUAAAAGGUGAGAUUUGCAAUUUUAUCUCCGACUACUCCAUUUGGAUGAUCGGUCAUCAAGAGACAUUCUUCACAUGAGCAGGAACAAGCUCCAGCUGAGGGCCCUGUGUUCCGUGCUCUUCGCUCAUCUACCCACUAAUAAGCCAAGAUGAAGAGAAGAGGUAAUAGAAUCACAUUAACCUGUAAAGCCCUUUGUUGGCAGAGGCAAAAGUGGACAGUGGAACACAUGAAGACAGGUGCAUAAAAGUCCUCUCAUGAACAUUGGGCUUGUGAAGAAAAGCAUGAUUCUUUAGCAAAGGAGAAAAUAAGAAAAUUUUGAAAUAUUGAAAUAUGAGAUAUGUCCAUUUCAGAUGCAUGAUGAGCUAAUGAAAUUAAAUUAAUGGAACACUCUAAGAACUUAACCAUUUCUUCAUAUUUUACUAAAACACUUAUCAGAUACAUUCUGCAAAGGUUCUAGAAAAAGAAAACUUAUUUUGUCCAAACUCCACAAUAUAUUCAGAGUGAGUCCAGUUCUGUAGCAAUAUUAAGCAUAUUAUACUUGUGGUUAACCGGCACCUAGUGGAAGAAAUAAGCCAAAACAUGACAUUUUAAAUCAGAAACCAGUAAAUAUGGCUUAUUUUAACGUGAGAUCCUCCUCACACUCUAAAAGGAAAACAUUUUCCAGCUUUUCAUUGCCUUGAACGCACAAGAUCUUGCAUAAAAAUGUCAGCUACAGGCUUCGAAGCAAAUGUUUCUUUUUACAAUAUGGCACACAUCAUAAUUUCCUUGCCUGGUUCUCCCUGAAAAAGAGGGGGAGUAUAACCCUCUAACUAGCAGCCAAACACUCUUCUCUUAAAAAUGCUAUCCAAAGAAAUGAAACACAGCCGUGACAAAACAAGGUGUCCAGGGCAAAGUUCUUGCCCUAAAUUUAUCAUUUGUUUAUGCUUCUCUAGUCUUUUAAAUAAUCUCUAGUUAUAUCCUUUUUGCAAAGAAUUAGGAGUCUGUUAGUAAAAUCAUUAGAAAAGUAUUUUGUUCAAAUAAACUAAUUCAAUUUGGUCCAUAACAAGCACUGGUUAAAUUUUACGGUUGUUCACAUUAUUUCAUGAUUAGUAUAUGUAAGUCAAGUUCUAACACUUGCCUUGUUUUGUUUUAAUGAAGAACUCCUCCUUAAACAGAGAAAAAUUCUUAAAAGAGAAUUCCUCUAAAGCUCUGUACAUGUCUGAGUCUUUCUUAUUCCUCCUGAAAUGAUCUGUCCUUAUACUGAGAUAUUAUUUGCCAAUUUUCAGACCACUGUUAUUUCUUCUAAAAAUGUCACAAGGCUUUAAAAAUGUCACAAGGCUUUGAAGAGAAAUUUGAUGGUAGAGAUGUUGAGAUCCUUAACCAAGUAGCACAAAUAUCACUGCAAUAAACAAUAUUUUAAGGAACUCUGUUUUAGUUAACUCCAAGAGCCAUGGGGAAGCUGUUUCAUCUCCCAUUCCUUUGUCCCCACAUUGACUGAAAAAGGAAAUGUAUCUUACCAUAAUAUUAUUAUGCCUCUCAUUCAUGAUAGUGCCAACUUUCAGAUAAGUGUGGAUAAUUGUUUUUUUUCCCAGGGAGUUCUCUUUAACCUAGCAGAUCCUACACAGGGGUAUUCUUUCGGAAGCAGCCCUUUACACUCAGUUGUGACACUAGGAAAUUAGAAAAUACUGCAUAAAGCAUUCCUAGCAUUCAGCUAGCCAAAAGUAAAAUAUUCCCAAGAGGAUUAAAAAAUGCAACUGAUGCCUACAGGUUGCUAAAACACGUAUAAACCAAAAAAAACCCCUCAUAAUUUAUUAAUAAUAAUAUUAGUAUUUUUUUCUCUCUCUAAGGAAUUCUUUAUAAAACCUACCUCCAUGAUUUUUCGUGUGUCUUCUAGAUCUGUCCUCCACUAACCAGAAGCCUGGAAACAAACUUGUUAUAUGAAGGCAAGAAUAGUAUCCUUACAUUUUCAAUUAAAAAAAAAAAAAAGAUUUCCUGAUGCUUUUCUCAUCCAGAAGAAUGGGGACAUAUUUAUCAAAGUACACCUCAGAGAUACGCUUAACCUCCCAAGCAGAGUUAAUCGUUUAAAGAAAUAACAAAAUGUAAGAUUCGCUUUGAAUUGAACUGUGCUAAGACACAGUUGACAUUAAAUGUUGCUGUUUUAAAGGGCAAUUUCCAGAUGUAAAUUUGUCCUUUGCCCAAGAACAAAUGUGCUACAUUUUUCUUCCAUCUCUUCAAUACUCUAUUCUUCCAAACAAAGAAUGAUCAGAAGGCAGCAUGUGCAGACAUCACCAUGUCAACUUAAUUUUUCACAUCUUAACUAUUUUCUUUUUUUUUUAAGAUUUUAUUU
Molecule: long non-coding RNA, 3363 nt
Filed under: Canis lupus familiaris (dog)
Lineage: Eukaryota; Metazoa; Chordata; Mammalia; Carnivora; Canidae
Description: lncRNA (ENSCAFG00000057175.1)
Source: RNAcentral